Streptomyces scabiei 87.22 is the source of this 162-nucleotide regulatory RNA element. It matches the Rfam family "c-di-AMP riboswitch aptamer (ydaO/yuaA leader)". Rfam says of the family: This family represents a conserved RNA structure found upstream of the ydaO and yuaA genes in Bacillus subtilis and related genes in other bacteria. The ydaO/yuaA element is thought to act as a genetic "off" switch for the ydaO and yuaA genes in its native state. It is believed that the element may be triggered during osmotic shock leading to activation of ydaO, a predicted amino acid transporter gene, and members of the yuaA-yubG operon which code for KtrA and KtrB K+ transporters. Lineage: Bacteria; Bacillati; Actinomycetota; Actinomycetes; Kitasatosporales; Streptomycetaceae. The record is from Rfam.
CGUGCUCACGCGCCGAAUCCCGCAAGGGAACCGGGGAACCACCACCCUGGGGUGAAUCGCACGGAAACCGUCGUGGCAGUCCGCACGACCGGUUUACGCGCGUAGGAGACCUUCCUGCUCCGAACCCGUCAGCUAACCCGGUAGGCGAGGAGGAAGGAAGGA